RNAcentral lists this transfer RNA (91 nucleotides) under Kocuria flava. Its description in RNAcentral is "tRNA-Val". Lineage: Bacteria; Bacillati; Actinomycetota; Actinomycetes; Micrococcales; Micrococcaceae. The record is from RNAcentral.
CGGCCCCGGGCGCUGCCCGGGGCCGCGGCCCGCGCUCACAGCGCGGUGGUGCUGCCGCCGGCGGCGGCGAUCUUCUCGGCCGCGGAGCCGG